RNAcentral lists this ribosomal RNA (251 nucleotides) under uncultured prokaryote. Its description in RNAcentral is "partial 16S rRNA". It matches the Rfam family "Bacterial small subunit ribosomal RNA", at positions 525 to 775 of the family's 1533-position model. The record is from RNAcentral.
ACGGAGGAUGCAAGCGUUAUCCGGAUUCAUUGGGCUUAAAGGGCGCGCAGGCGGAAUGAUAAGUCAGUGGUGAAAUCCUACGGCUCAACUGUAGAACUGCCAUUGAUACUGUUAUUCUUGAGUACACUUGAAGUGGGCGGAAUGUGUCAUGUAGCGGUGAAAUGCUUAGAUAUGCGACAGAACACCGAUCGCGAAGGCAGCUCACUAAAUUGUAACUGACGCUCAGGCUCGAAAGCGUGGGGAUCAAACAG